AGCCAUAUUGAUUAUUUGGUUAAAAUGAAUAUUCGUGUUGUGAAAAAUUUACUGAAAUGAAUUAUUUUUAAUUGUCUCCCUUUACUCGCCUUUAAAUAGUUUAGAUGGUGUCUGUUUACUCACUAGGAUUAUGUAAUCAUAAUCUCACCCCUCUUCCUAUCCAUUUUUCAAGCUCAGGACAGUUUGUUGAUAGUUGAUUAAGACGAGAAUUAAUCUCGGAGUUGCAUCCUAGAAAGUAAGGGUUCGUAGCCCUACACCUUAUUGGUCAGUUGAGGGCCCAUAUGUCACUGUAAAAAUAAUUUUAUACUUCAGUUAUCUGAUUUAAAGUAUGUAUGAACAUAUUUAUCUUUUACACCAUGUUUUUGGCGGGUUUCGGUAUUUUUGAAGAAAAAUGACGAAAAUGCCCUUGUGAG
RNAcentral lists this long non-coding RNA (413 nucleotides) under Theobroma cacao (cacao). Its description in RNAcentral is "long non-coding RNA (TCAC_LNC003086)". Lineage: Eukaryota; Viridiplantae; Streptophyta; Magnoliopsida; Malvales; Malvaceae. The record is from RNAcentral.